UAAGUAAGCUUUGAUCCAGAGAUUUCCGAAUGGGGAAACCCAGCAUGAGUUAUGUCAUGUUAUCGAUAUGUGAAUACAUAGCAUAUCAGAAGGCACACCCGGAGAACUGAAACAUCUUAGUACCCGGAGGAAGAGAAAGAAAAUUCGAUUCCCUUAGUAGCGGCGAGCGAAACGGGAAGAGCCCAAACCAACAAGCUUGCUUGUUGGGGUUGUAGGACACUCUAUACGGAGUUACAAAGGACGACAUUAGACGAAUCAUCUGGAAAGAUGAAUCAAAGAAGGUAAUAAUCCUGUAGUCGAAAAUGUUGUCUCUCUUGAGUGGAUCCUGAGUACGACGGAGCACGUGAAAUUCCGUCGGAAUCUGGGAGGACCAUCUCCUAAGGCUAAAUACUCUCUAGUGACCGAUAGUGAACCAGUACCGUGAGGGAAAGGUGAAAAGCACCCCGGAAGGGGAGUGAAAUAGAACCUGAAACCGUGUGCUUACAAGUAGUCAGAGCCCGUUAAUGGGUGAUGGCGUGCCUUUUGUAGAAUGAACCGGCGAGUUACGAUUUGAUGCAAGGUUAAGCAGUAAAUGUGGAGCCGUAGCGAAAGCGAGUCUGAAUAGGGCGUUUAGUAUUUGGUCGUAGACCCGAAACCAGGUGAUCUACCCUUGGUCAGGUUGAAGUUCAGGUAACACUGAAUGGAGGACCGAACCGACUUACGUUGAAAAGUGAGCGGAUGAACUGAGGGUAGCGGAGAAAUUCCAAUCGAACCUGGAGAUAGCUGGUUCUCUCCGAAAUAGCUUUAGGGCUAGCCUCAAGUGAUGAUUAUUGGAGGUAGAGCACUGUUUGGACGAGGGGCCCCUCUCGGGUUACCGAAUUCAGACAAACUCCGAAUGCCAAUUAAUUUAACUUGGGAGUCAGAACAUGGGUGAUAAGGUCCGUGUUCGAAAGGGAAACAGCCCAGACCACCAGCUAAGGUCCCAAAAUAUAUGUUAAGUGGAAAAGGAUGUGGCGUUGCCCAGACAACUAGGAUGUUGGCUUAGAAGCAGCCAUCAUUUAAAGAGUGCGUAAUAGCUCACUAGUCGAGUGACACUGCGCCGAAAAUGUACCGGGGCUAAACAUAUUACCGAAGCUGUGGAUUGUCCUUUGGACAAUGGUAGGAGAGCGUUCUAAGGGUGUUGAAGCAUGAUC
Molecule: ribosomal RNA, 1172 nt
Filed under: Staphylococcus aureus
Lineage: Bacteria; Bacillati; Bacillota; Bacilli; Caryophanales; Staphylococcaceae
Description: partial 23S ribosomal RNA
Rfam family: Bacterial large subunit ribosomal RNA
Source: RNAcentral